Molecule: long non-coding RNA, 3600 nt
Organism: Gavialis gangeticus (Gharial)
Lineage: Eukaryota; Metazoa; Chordata; Crocodylia; Gavialidae
Exons: 3
Source: RefSeq, a predicted model, not a curated record
ACCAACAAAUAUUCUAUUUCUUCAUUGGUCUUCUCUUUUCCUUGGCUCAGAAUCUCCUUUGGUGUUAUUUUUCAGAUGGAAGAUGUCCAGGUGGACCCAGAAGAAGAUCUCAUUGCUAUAAUGAAUGAGAGAACUGUAACUGUCACAAAACAACACUGCCCAGAUGCAAGUUUCUUUCCCUGUGGCCUCUGGAAUACUCCUUGCUGGAAAAGCCCCACCAGUAUGCCCAACUUCAAUCACAGCUAAAGAAAAAUAUCUACUCCAAGGGUGAGCAGUGUAUUUGCUCACAGCUGCCCACUAUCCUUUAUCUCCUUGAGUCUUCCCUCUCUUUAGUGAGUUUGACUUCAAUCAGUCCUUUCACUUGCAAUGAUAUAUUAAUAUCCCAGACACAAAAGAAACAAUAGGGAAAAAAACAACCUGUUCCCCGUUGAACUGCUUUCAGCAGAUUCCUCCAUCUCCACAAUCUGGCAUUCACUGUAGAUGGACCCUGUAGCAUGCCCUCUCAGCAGUUAGAGCUCCUCUGAGCUCUUAGACUGAAACUCAAUCUUCUUCCCCGCCUCUGGAGUCUCUGUCACUCUUCCCUGCACUCCCGUCCGUACCACUGGCUUGCUUGCAUCCUUCAUUCUCCCUCUCCUCUCCUGCAGGUUUUUUCUCCCAAGAAGGGCAUAAAGCUCCAGAGAUGCCAAACUGGAAGGAGCAGUAACUUCUGAAACAGCGUUCUGGCAGCUCUAUUUCUGCUUCCAUCAAUCUGGCUUCUUGUUGGUCCCAGUAAGUUUUUCAGAUCCCUUUCCCUUUUCUCUGUAGAGGCAGGGGAAGCCUCUUCACACCAGUGAGGGGGAUUCUAAGGAAUGUUUUGAAAAGAGGGGAGUUUGCAGAUGAUGAAGAACAGAAAUCCCCAUUUUCUAGAUUAACAAUACCCCCUUCAGAGAUUUUUCUUAAUGGUGCUAGAACUAUGACACUGAAUUACGCCUUGUCUGAGAAUCAGAAAGAGGUCCUACACACUCUAUUGCUCUUUUCUUCCAUGCCAGCUGACCAAGAUACAGUAAGGACCCAGUCCUUCACCACUGAUUUCAGUAGAGUGGAGCUGGUAUGCUUUACACAGUUUAUUGGCCAGAGCAACUUACUUAAUUAACGAUGCACUAAGAGACAUUCGGAGACCACUAUCCUGUAAACUCCCUCUGCCACAAGUAAUAACCUUUAUAUUUGUUCCAGGAUAAAUCCAUUGUUAUUUAAAUUUCAUAUGGUUAAACAAAAGUAUUUAUCAACCUAAAUCAUCUCUUGGAUAUUUUGUGACCUGAAAUGUCAGCUUUUCUGAUUAAUAUAGUGGUUCAACUGUGGAAAUGCAUAACAUUUAACAGAUAUUAAGCAAAAUAUGCAUAUGCUUUCUUACCUACUUUGAUUGAAAUCUAUAUAUGUUGGUGACUUCAAAUGGGAACCAAUUGCAUUUACAAUAGUGAAACUCUGGUUCAUCUCCAGUGAAGUCACUGAAAUUGUCCUAGAUUUAUUUUGGGACAAAUUAAAUCAGAACCUGAUCCAAAGUGUGAAUAACUGGUACCUUCCCAAGUAGUACUUGUAUAAUUUCUGUGCACAGGUGAGUUUUUCCUAGAUCACUGGCAUUUCUAAGAUCAGUGUAAUCUGGCCUGGGAUAUUUAUUGACCAUAACUUUCAUUACAGAGCAGCCAAAAACCAAAGUGUGCAAGUUUUAAAAGUCUGUAUUAAAGGUUCAAACCUUUUUGCUUAUGAAAAAUGUUCCUACAAAUGUUCCUGUCUCAUUUGGGAUAUUAAAUGUGAGCUAUACAUUUGCUCUGAAGGAACUGUUAUGACUAGUUAUAGCCCUUGAUCCAGAGCACCUUAUAAAAAAACAUUUUUUAUUUUAUUUUAUUUUAAGAGGAGAUAGUAGGCUACAAGGUGAAGUCAGGCUAUAUGGAGCUAGGUUGUAUAAAUAUAGCUCAGUAAAAUUUCCAUAGUAAAAUAAUAAUAAUAGUAAUAAUAAUAUAAUAAUAAUAACUCGUAACUGUCACCUGCUAUAUAUUGAGUACUUCAUCCAAAUAUCCAAGAAUACAUCUACAGGCAUACAUUACUUCACCACAGGUACUAGGGAAGUCAAAGUAUUUUGAAAUGUUAUCAAAAACUGCCAGUGAGUGAUAUUUUGCUCAGCAUCUUCUCUCCUCUUAUUCUCUCCCAAUCCUCUUUUGUUGGCAUUGGAGGCGCUCCAGAAACAUCCUGGAAGAGGGAAAUAAAUAUCCUCAAGAAUGGUGGGGCUGAAUAUACAUCAUCUGGAAGAAACACAAUGAUGAUAAAUGACUGGUGGAUGAAAGAGUAAGAAGUGAGACAAACAUACAGAAGUCUCCAACAUUAGAGCAAACUUCUUGUAGAGAAGUAAAGCAAGGACUGUGAGAACUCAUCUAGUCUAACCAGGGAUUGAACCUGCAUCAUGCUCUAACCAAGCUAAUCAGCUGCUGAAUGAUACAGCUUUGUGGAGCUAAAAAUAGCAGAAGGAAAUUAGCUUAAAAACUAUACCCAUGAAGUACAUGGGUACAUACUGGGAAUUAAUUAAAUCAAAGGUAAACAGGGAUUCAUCUUAAAAGCUACUAAAUCUUCUUCAGCAAAGAAUUAGGAAUGCACUCUUAGUCUGUUUCGAAUCUAUAGGAGUUUGCCACUGAUGGGAAAAUUUCACUUAAGGUAUAUAAACUUUUGCCAGUAUGAGAAUAAAGCCCCUUCUUUCUAUCCCUAUACAUUGGACUAUUUCAACUUGUGAGAGGCAAAUAUUAAACUGUAAAAAUAAGAUUUUUUUUAAGACAGAUAAUACAGUAACCAAAUAUUAUAAAUUCAUAUAAGUGUAUUAAGUGUGCUAAGUUAAAUAAGCAACAUUUUCUGUGAAGUCAUUCAUAAGCAGUUGUACAGUUUAUGAAAUUAUAAGGAAAUAUAUUGAAAGAUAAAAAUGGAUCCUAUUUACAAAUUAGAGCAAUCAGAAGAGUCACUACUAAAAGGUUAACAAUUACCAACAGUUAUUAAGCUUAGAUAUCUAUGAUACUUCAGCUCUGUGUUUAAACUUAGGACAGCCAAAACUGCAUGAAUUAUUAGUUAGUAUAUGGCAUAUAUUACACUCAAGGCUACUUCAGUCACUGUUCUAAAACACAGCACCAAGAACUCCCAUUUUGCUGGACAGGGAUAAAAUGGGAAGGAAAUGAGGUAGCUAUCCUCUGGUACCAAGGGUUCUAACUACAGCUAUCUCCUUCAUGUUGAUGUAGGUCCCUGUGAAGAUGUCUUGACUCCUUUAUGCAAAAUACAGACCCUGAUUUUAGACAACACUGUCACCUGGUCGCUCACCUAUGGAUCUAAAACCUCCCCAUUUUAUAUUAAUUCUGUAUAGUAUCAUAAGAUAUAGAAGGUCACCUAUUAAACCUUUAUCCUUACACACGGGAAGGGAACGAGAGGCCUCAGAUGUGGCUGAGUGAACUGCAUAUAAAGACUAACAUUUGAUUGAGAAAAUACUAGACAAUGAUUUUCACCAGUGCUUACUCUGUCUAAGCCUCAGUAAGGCUAGGGACAGACAUUCAAAAUGCCUGAGCCUGUAUUGAUUCAAUCUUUGCAGGUUAG